GACAGAGGUCCCAAGCGUUAGGCGGAAUCACUGGGCUUAAAGCGUGUGUAGGCGGAUUUGUAAGUACCUUGUGAAAUCCCACGGCUCAACCGUGGAACUGCUUGGUAUACUGCUUAUCUUGGGCCAUCUAGGGGCGAGCGGAACAAACGGUGGAGCGGUGAAAUGCGUAGAUAUCGUUUGGAACGCCAAUGGUGAAAACAGCUCGCUGGGGAUGUGCCGACGCUGAGGCACGAAGGCCAGGGGAGCAAACGGG
RNAcentral lists this ribosomal RNA (253 nucleotides) under uncultured bacterium. RNAcentral's name for it is "partial 16S ribosomal RNA". It matches the Rfam family "Bacterial small subunit ribosomal RNA", at positions 524 to 776 of the family's 1533-position model. The record is from RNAcentral.